CAGAAACCACCAAAAUUGAGCUGUCGCCUAAGCUCGAAGCUAGGUUCUCCCUUUUGAGAACUUCGUUCUGAAAAAUCACCGCGGUAACCUUAUCCCACGGUAACCUUAUCCAUCUUGAUGGUGCUCUUUCCUACUAGAAGAGCAGUCAUCAAAGACUCAUACGAAGAGGAAAGCAAUGCUAGCAAGACCAGCACUCUAGUCUUCUCCUCAACUUUUUCACCAAUACUGAGG
Molecule: long non-coding RNA, 231 nt
Filed under: Elaeis guineensis (African oil palm)
Lineage: Eukaryota; Viridiplantae; Streptophyta; Magnoliopsida; Arecales; Arecaceae
Description: long non-coding RNA (EGUI_LNC063685)
Source: RNAcentral